This 23-nucleotide non-coding RNA is filed under the name Arabidopsis thaliana (thale cress). Lineage: Eukaryota; Viridiplantae; Streptophyta; Magnoliopsida; Brassicales; Brassicaceae. The record is from RNAcentral.
UUGUGCAAUGAGGAUGGUUAAUA